This 484-nucleotide ribosomal RNA is filed under the name uncultured bacterium. RNAcentral describes it as "partial 16S ribosomal RNA". It matches the Rfam family "Bacterial small subunit ribosomal RNA", at positions 30 to 507 of the family's 1533-position model. The record is from RNAcentral.
AUUGAACGCUGGCGGCAGGCCUAACACAUGCAAGUCGAGCGGAUGAAGGGAGCUUGCUCCUGGAUUCAGCGGCGGACGGGUGAGUAAUGCCUAGGAAUCUGCCUGGUAGUGGGGGAUAACGUCCGGAAACGGGCGCUAAUACCGCAUACGUCCUGAGGGAGAAAGUGGGGGAUCUUCGGACCUCACGCUAUCAGAUGAGCCUAGGUCGGAUUAGCUAGUUGGUGGGGUAAAGGCCUACCAAGGCGACGAUCCGUAACUGGUCUGAGAGGAUAAUCAGUCACACUGGAACUGAGACACGGUCCAGACUCCUACGGGAGGCAGCAGUGGGGAAUAUUGGACAAUGGGCGAAAGCCUGAUCCAGCCAUGCCGCGUGUGUGAAGAAGGUCUUCGGAUUGUAGAGCACUUUAAGUGGGGAGGAAGGGCAGUAAGUUAAUACCUUGCUGUUUUGACGUUACCAACAGAAUAAGCACCGGCUAACUACGUG